UUCCCCUUCGGGGGACAAAGUGACAGGUGGUGCAUGGUUGUCGUCAGCUCGUGUCGUGAGAUGUUGGGUUAAGUCCCGCAACGAGCGCAACCCUUAAGCUUAGUUGCCAUCAUUAAGUUGGGCACUCUAAGUUGACUGCCGGUGACAAACCGGAGGAAGGUGGGGAUGACGUCAAAUCAUCAUGCCCCUUAUGAUUUGGGCUACACACGUGCUACAAUGGACAAUACAAAGGGCAGCGAAACCGCGAGGUCAAGCAAAUCCCAUAAAGUUGUUCUCAGUUCGGAUUGUAGUCUGCAACUCGACUACAUGAAGCUGGAAUCGCUAGUAAUCGUAGAUCAGCAUGCUACGGUGAAUACGUUCCCGGGUCUUGUACACACCGCCCGUCACACCACGAGAGUUUGUAACACCCGAAGCCGGUGGAGUAACCUUUUAGGAGCUAGCCGUCGAAGGUGGGACAAAUGAUUGGGGUGAAGUCGUAACAAGGUAGCCGUAUCGGAAGGUGCGGCUGGAUCA
This 513-nucleotide ribosomal RNA is filed under the name Staphylococcus aureus. RNAcentral describes it as "bacterial SSU rRNA". It matches the Rfam family "Bacterial small subunit ribosomal RNA", at positions 1013 to 1525 of the family's 1533-position model. The record is from RNAcentral. Lineage: Bacteria; Bacillati; Bacillota; Bacilli; Caryophanales; Staphylococcaceae.